UACGGAGGGUGCGAGCGUUGUCCGGAAUCACUGGGCGUAAAGGGCGCGUAGGCGGUGCGAGAAGCGUGUGGUGAAAGGCCGGGGCUCAACCCCGGCUCGGCCCGUGCGGACUCUCGCGCUUGGUGAGUGCUGUAGAGGCGGGCGGAAUUCCGGGUGUAGCGGUGGAAUGCGUAGAGAUCCGGAAGAACACCGGUGGCGAAGGCGGCCCGCUGGGCAGUGACUGACGCUGGAGGCGCGACAGCGUGGGGAGCAAA
This 254-nucleotide ribosomal RNA is filed under the name uncultured bacterium. RNAcentral describes it as "partial 16S ribosomal RNA". It matches the Rfam family "Bacterial small subunit ribosomal RNA", at positions 524 to 772 of the family's 1533-position model. The record is from RNAcentral.